CCUACGGGGGGCUGCAGUGGGGAAUAUUGGGCAAUGGGCGCAAGCCUGACCCAGCAACGCCGCGUGAAGGAAGAAGGCUUUCGGGUUGUAAACUUCUUUUGUCAGGGAAGAGUAGAAGACGGUACCUGCCGAAUAAGCCACGGCUAACUACGUGCCAGCAGCCGCGGUAAUACGUAGGUGGCAAGCGUUGUCCGGAUUUACUGUGUGUAAAGGGCGUGUAGCCGGGUUGACAAGUCAGAUGUGAAAUCCUGCGGCUUAACCGCAGAACUGCAUGUGAAACUGUUGAUCUUGAGUACUGGAGAGGCAGACGGAAUUCCUAGUGUAGCGGGGAAAUGCGUAGAUAUUAGGAGGAACACCAGUGGCGAAGGCGGUCUGCUGGACAGCAACUGACGGUGAGGCGCGAAAGCGUGGGGAGCAAACAGGAUUAGAUACCCGAGUAGUC
This 442-nucleotide ribosomal RNA is filed under the name uncultured bacterium. RNAcentral's name for it is "partial 16S ribosomal RNA". It matches the Rfam family "Bacterial small subunit ribosomal RNA", at positions 338 to 795 of the family's 1533-position model. The record is from RNAcentral.